AUGUGCUACAGGGUAGAAUGUUCAACCUGUGGGAAGGACACCUGGGGAGGAUGUGGUAAACAUUUGACCACACUCUAUGCUAGUAUUGACGAGGGAAUGCAUUGUAUGUGCCAUUCAUGGCCUGGUGUUGUUAUAAGUUCUCAACAACACAUAAACACAGCCACUCACCAACCAUCAUCAUCCUCUAAUGGUACAUCAACUUCUUUAAUUUUGUUCUUUUGUUUUUUAGUUGUAUACCUAUUAUACAUCAACUUUGCCUAG
This is a non-coding RNA of Vicia faba (fava bean), 261 nucleotides long. The record is from the annotation of a GenBank genome assembly. Lineage: Eukaryota; Viridiplantae; Streptophyta; Magnoliopsida; Fabales; Fabaceae.